GGCUCAAUGGUCUAGUCGUAGGAUUCUCGCUUCGGGACUUCAUUCUGAAAGAAGAAUGCGAGAGGUCCCGGGUUCAAUUCCCGGUUGAGCCC
Molecule: non-coding RNA, 92 nt
Organism: Hypomontagnella submonticulosa
Lineage: Eukaryota; Fungi; Ascomycota; Sordariomycetes; Xylariales; Hypoxylaceae
Source: the annotation of a GenBank genome assembly